RNAcentral lists this ribosomal RNA (460 nucleotides) under uncultured bacterium. Its description in RNAcentral is "partial 16S ribosomal RNA". It matches the Rfam family "Bacterial small subunit ribosomal RNA", at positions 338 to 795 of the family's 1533-position model. The record is from RNAcentral.
CCUACGGGGGGCAGCAGUGAGGAAUAUUGGUCAAUGGCCGGAAGGCUGAACCAGCCAAGUCGCGUGAGGGAAUAAGGCCCUAUGGGUCGUAAACCUCUUUUGUCAGGGAGCAAAGGCGUCCACGUGUGGACGAGAGGAGAGUACCUGAAGAAAAAGCAUCGGCUAACUCCGUGCCAGCAGCCGCGGUAAUACGGAGGAUGCGAGCGUUAUCCGGAUUUAUUGGGUUUAAAGGGUGCGCAGGCGGAGGUGCAAGUCAGCGGUCAAAUUGCGGGGCUCAACCCCGUACUGCCGUUGAAACUGCAUCCCUUGAGUGCGCGAGAAGUAUGCGGAAUGCGUGGUGUAGCGGUGAAAUGCAUAGAUAUCACGCAGAACUCCGAUUGCGAAGGCAGCAUACCGGCGCGCAACUGACGCUCAUGCACGAAAGCGUGGGUAUCGAACAGGAUUAGAUACCCCGGUAGUC